CCUACGGGAGGCAGCAGUGAGGAAUAUUGGUCAAUGGACGAGAGUCUGAACCAGCCAAGUAGCGUGAAGGAUGACUGCCCUAUGGGUUGUAAACUUCUUUUAUAAAGGAAUAAAACGAGGCAAGUGUGCCUUUUUGCAUGGACUUUAUGAAUAAGGAUCGGCUAACUCCGUGCCAGCAGCCGCGGUAAUACGGAGGUUCCGAGCGUUAUCCGGAUUUAUUGGGGUUAAAGGGAGCGUAGAUGGGUUGUUAAGUCAGUUGUUAAAGUUUGCGGCUCAACCGUAAAAUUGCAAUUGAUACUGGCAGUCUUGAGUACAGUUGAGGUAGGCGGAAUUCGUGGUGUAGCGGUGAAAUGCUUAGAUAGCACGAAGAACCCCGAUUGCGAAGGCAGCUUACUAAACUGUGACUGACAUUGAUGCUCGAAAGUGUGGGUAUCAAACAGGAUUAGAUACCCCAGUAGUC
This 460-nucleotide ribosomal RNA is filed under the name uncultured bacterium. RNAcentral describes it as "partial 16S ribosomal RNA". It matches the Rfam family "Bacterial small subunit ribosomal RNA", at positions 338 to 795 of the family's 1533-position model. The record is from RNAcentral.